Phycodurus eques (leafy seadragon) is the source of this 1315-nucleotide long non-coding RNA. RefSeq lists it as uncharacterized. The transcript is spliced from 3 exons. The record is from RefSeq and is a predicted model, not a curated record. NCBI's taxonomy places the organism in Eukaryota, Metazoa, Chordata, Actinopteri, Syngnathiformes, Syngnathidae.
UCCAUUUUCUAACGCUUAUCCGGAUCGGGUCGCGGGGGCAGUAGCUUUAGCAGGGACGCCCAGACUUCCCUCUCCCCAGCCACUUCAUCCAGCUCUUCCGGGGUGGAUCCCGUGGCGUUCCCAGCCCAGCCGAAGGACGUUUAUGUGAAAAACUCACGGAGGCACGGGGAGACAUGCAAACUCCACACAGGCGGCGCCGGGGAUUGAACCCCGGUCCUCAGAACUGCACCUGCAGGCCAGCGCCGCCAUCUGCAUGCUCCCACCCAGCUCCGUGGACCCCCCUGCUGAUGCCACAAGCCCUGUCAGCGGUGACUUUGUGAGGUCGGAGGACAGCCUAAUGGGAAAGCACUGACCUGUGAUCAGCCGCCGGUCCAGCUGUUUGCUCCAGGCAGCUGCAUAAGAAUCAGUCAAGCCUUCCUGGACCUCCUGGACUACAUCCUUCUGCAGAACCAUGGGAACCUUUGUGAGAGCUCGCCGACCAGUCAGUACCUCCAACAACACCUGCAACACACAUAUAUAUAUAUAUAUAUACACACACACACACACACACACACACACACACACACACACAGACACACACACACACACACACACACCGUGAGGAGCGGCAUCACCCGGCCUUGAGGAAAAGGAGACAACAUUUAAGUCUGACCGGUUUGGUCACCACGCUCAUGUUGUCACCUCCUUGCAGCUUUACAUCCUAAUGCCACUGCUCUCAACAAUCUCAUCUAUCUACACCAUUAGCUAUUAUAGGGACUCACCACACCAAAGCUGUAGACAUCCACUGCCGUCCCCAGCUGUCCAUUCCUCACGUACUCCUCUGGCAGGUAUGCCAGCGUUCCUCUCACCGUGGACGUUCGACCCACUGUGGUCGUCUUGGAGGACAGAUGGCACGAUGAGUUGGUAGACACAAAACGAGCCAAGCCAAAAUCAGCCAGCUUUGCCACCAGGUGGCGGUCCAACAGGAUGUUUGAACUGCAAGAGGAAGUGGAAUUACAAGGACACAAGUAAACUAUUUGAUGAUUAUUUAAGUCGCACGUCUUCUGGAAAACAUAGAAGAAAUUUCUGAAGUCGCAAUUCGUACUACUGUGCUGUAUCAUUCUGUCAUAGUACAACAUCUGUCAAUAUCUCAGUAACAAAUAUUGAUAUCACUGCUGUUCAUUUUACGUAAAUUUUGACCAUUGAAUAUGAUGUGAAUGUCAGUAUUCUCUAUGUACUUUCAGUCGUGCCUAUGAAAACGGUUUUAUUGUUUUUAUACAUACUGCCCAAGUCUACAUAAACAUACAGUGGUUACAGCAAUAAAAAUAGAUGGACA